UUGAAUUCAAUUUUCAAAAUU
RNAcentral lists this non-coding RNA (21 nucleotides) under Caenorhabditis elegans. The record is from RNAcentral. Lineage: Eukaryota; Metazoa; Nematoda; Chromadorea; Rhabditida; Rhabditidae.